GUUUAAGACACGCUCAAUGGAAUGCAUAGAAGAAAGAUGGGUAUCUGUCAAAUGGUGCCUUUAGUUUUCAACUCAAUAAUUAUCCUGCUAUUCAAAUUUAACGGUGUGGAAGCAGAGUGCUCGAAAUUUCAAGGGGAGGGGAUGAGUAUCUCAUUUAAUGGUGUUUGCUACUAUGGAUUCAAAGAAGUGAAAACAUUUUCAGAAGCUACAGAACUGUGUAGAUCUAAAGGAACGAGAAUUCCUGUUAUGGAUUCAGCAUUCAAACAAGAAAUGAUAAAAAACAUGAUCGGUUUUUUCGUCCCAGAGUAUUGGAUCAGCCUACAAUAUAAAAAUGAAAAAUGGCUGUGGGUGGAUGAUAUAAAUGAGUAUCCGAUGGCUCAACCUCGAUGGGCGACACAAGAAUUGACUGGAGAGGGUUAUAUAUACGCUACGGCCUCAGACGUUACAUGGAAUAAGAAAAAGUCUGAUGACUUGGUUACAUUUAUGUGCGAGGAUGAUGCAUCUCCACCAACAAUCACUGCAGCUAUCGGUAGUGACACAGUUACAACAUGUACGGUUAUCAGGAGCUUGAGCAACAUUAUUCGAAGUGUGAAUAUCAAAGCCGAAUCUCUAAUAGAGUGUGCAGUAAUAUGUGUGGAGAACAGUGAAUGCACAUAUUUACAGUUUUAUCAGGAAUCCGGAACCUGUUACGGUUAUAAAUCACAUUUCAGUGAUGGUUCUAUGAGCUUUAGUUGCCCACAGGGAUGCUUUCGUUGUCAAUAAUACAUAUAUUAAUAUAGAAAUUGGCACGUUAAAGGUACACCCUUCUCGGCCAGAUCGAGUCAAUUCCAAAUGUGGAUUUUUAGUUUCAAUAGGGGAAUAUUCAUUCAUGUAUAUCUAUUUAGAAAAAAAAACAUUGCUGGAUAACUGUAGAAACGGUAUCAUUAUGUUUUAAUAAAUGUUUAGUUUACCAGAAACUUUAAAUAAAUAGGACUAUGCUCAAAUUCACAUAGCCAAAACUC
This is a long non-coding RNA of Patella vulgata (common limpet), 1001 nucleotides long. RefSeq lists it as uncharacterized. The record is from RefSeq and is a predicted model, not a curated record. Lineage: Eukaryota; Metazoa; Mollusca; Gastropoda; Patellidae. The transcript is spliced from 4 exons.